This 497-nucleotide ribosomal RNA is filed under the name uncultured bacterium. Its description in RNAcentral is "partial 16S ribosomal RNA". It matches the Rfam family "Bacterial small subunit ribosomal RNA", at positions 28 to 507 of the family's 1533-position model. The record is from RNAcentral.
GACGAACGCUGGCGGCGUGCUUAAUACAUGCAAGUCGAGCGAAAAGACGCGGAGCUUGCUCCUCUGGCGUUAGCGGCGGACGGGAGAGUAACACGUGGAUAACCUACCUAUAAGACAGGGAUAACUACGGGAAACCGAUGCUAGUAAGGGAUCAUUUCUUGAACCGCAUGGUUGGAUAGUGUCGGAGGGUUUUGCUGGCCCCUCUGGAUGGAUCCGCGCCGCAUUGGCUGGUUGGUACGGUAGCGGCUUACGAAGGCAACGAUGCGUAGCCGACCCGACAGGGUGAACGGCCACACUGGAACUGAGACACCGUCCUGGCUCCGACGGGCGGCCGCGGUAGGGAAUGGUGCGCAAUGUGGGAAAGCCUGCCGGAUCAGCGCCGCGCUAAUGAUGAAGGGCUUCGUAUCGUAUAACGCUGUUAUUGUUGAAGAACAAAUUUGGCAGGAGCGAAGCUUGUCUUGACGGUACCUGAACAGAAAGCACCGGCUAACUACGUG